RNAcentral lists this ribosomal RNA (268 nucleotides) under uncultured bacterium. RNAcentral describes it as "partial 16S ribosomal RNA". It matches the Rfam family "Bacterial small subunit ribosomal RNA", at positions 88 to 354 of the family's 1533-position model. The record is from RNAcentral.
CCGGCGACCGGCGCACGGGUGAGUAACACGUAUGGAACCUGCCCGCAGCAGGGGGAUAAGCGGAAGAAAUUCCGUCUAAUACCGCGUAACAACGUUGGGAGGCAUCUCCCGAUGGUUUAAAGAGUUUAUCGGCUGCGGAUGGCCAUGCGGCGCAUUAGCUAGUCGGCGGGGUAACGGCCCACCGAGGCGACGAUGCGUAGGGGUUCUGAGAGGAAGGUCCCCCACACUGGUACUGAGACACGGACCAGACUCCUACGGGAGGCAGCAG